UACGUAGGGUGCAAGCGUUGUCCGGAAUCAUUGGGCGUAAAGCGCGCGUAGGUGGCUUCGUAAGUCCGUUGUGAAAGUCAAAGGCUCAACCUUUGAAUGCCGAUGGAUACUGCGAAGCUAGAGUACGGAAGAGGCGAGUGGAAUUCCUGGUGUAGCGGUGGAAUGCGCAGAUAUCAGGAGGAACACCAAUAGCGAAGGCAGCGCGCUGGGACGUUACUGACACUAAGGCGCGAAAGCGUGGGGAGCGAACAGG
RNAcentral lists this ribosomal RNA (253 nucleotides) under uncultured bacterium. Its description in RNAcentral is "partial 16S ribosomal RNA". It matches the Rfam family "Bacterial small subunit ribosomal RNA", at positions 524 to 776 of the family's 1533-position model. The record is from RNAcentral.